Molecule: ribosomal RNA, 468 nt
Filed under: uncultured bacterium
Lineage: Bacteria
Description: partial 16S ribosomal RNA
Rfam family: Bacterial small subunit ribosomal RNA
Source: RNAcentral
GACGAACGCUGGCGGCGUGCUUAACACAUGCAAGUCGAACGGAAAGGCCCUGCUUUUGUGGUGCUCUCGUGUGGCGAGGGGGGGUGAAACACGUGUGUAACCCCCCCUUGACUUUGGGAUAACUUCAGGAAACGGGGGCUUAUAGGGGAGAGGAGCUCCUGCUGCGUGGUGGUGGUUGGAAAGAUUCGGUGGUGGGGGAUGGACUCGCGGCUUAUCAGCUUGUUGGUGGGGUAGGGGCUUACCGAGGUUUCGACGGGUAGGCGGCCUGAGAGGGUGACGGGCCUCCUUGGGACUGAGAUGCGGCCCCGACUCCUACGGGAGGCAGCAGUGGGGAAUAUUGAACAAUGGGCGGCAGGCUGAUGCAGCACCGCCGCGUGGGGGAUGACGGCCUUCGUGUUGUAUACCGCUUUCGCCUGUGACGAAGCGUGAGUGACGGUAAUGGGUGAAGAAGCACCGGCUAACUACGUG